UUUAAUAAGGAUGUUUUUAACCCACAAAAUCAAAAAUCUAGGAAAAAUUAAUAUUUACUCAAUCAACAUUUACAAAAAUGGAACCUAUAAUUCAAUUAAUUCCCAUCAGUUUAAAGUGUCAAACUUUUUUAGACUAACAAAAAAUUAAGAAAUACGUAUUCGGAAGGUUUUAUUUUAGAUUAGAACUAUAAAGGGAAAGAAAAUAUGGAAAUCAACUCUUUAAAGAUUUAGGUAUGUUUUUCCUAUGAAAGUUUUAUAAGGAUUUGGAACUUUGAAUUUGGCAGUUUAUUUGAUAAAUACCUACAAGGUUUUCAGUUCCUCUCCUUUUCCCCCUAGAUAUUGUAAGGUAAGGUUUGUUGCAUUAACCACAUUGAUCUCUUUACCUUAUUUUAGUCCUUAAAAAUCUGUGAUGAUGAAAUUUUUAUUUCACUGCUGAUAUUGAGUUUUAUAGUCUUAUUUUACAACAUUGUGUUUUGUUAUUUGACUAAAUGUUUUGUUUGUAGACAUUUUCUGUUGCUGUAUGUAAGCAGUAUGCAAGCCAUUUGACCAAAAAACAUAACAUUUUUUUUAGCUUCGGUCUGAUAAGCUAAAAAUUUAGAAUUUUCUAAACUAUUUGUGACCCCUGCUAAUUCUAAUAAGUCUUUGCAUUACUUAUUGUUUUUCUGUAAUAUUUCUCAAUAUUUGAACAUAAAAGCAUCUCAAAACCACUUCU
This 712-nucleotide long non-coding RNA is filed under the name Mytilus galloprovincialis (Mediterranean mussel). Lineage: Eukaryota; Metazoa; Mollusca; Bivalvia; Mytilida; Mytilidae. The record is from RNAcentral.